CUGAAACUUCCCUUAAACAAAAUUGUUCACCAAAAAAAGAUGACUGAACAUGAUUACUAACAUCAAAUUUGACUUAUUUUCAUUGUGAUAGGUACAACUUCUAAAAAUUGGAUUUCUGAUCAUUCUCUGUAAUAGGAAGUACACCACUAAUUCAUGGUCCCAUUGCUUCCUAUGUUAAAUUCCUCCAUUUCAAGCAGGCACACCUCUUUUAUUUUAAGUUCAAAUAAAGUGGCAAUCAUUGCAUGUCAAAGCAACACUUUAUGGUGUCUUCUACUGAAAAAAUCAACAUACCUUUAAUUGCAUAUAAGAAAGAACUGGUUCCCAGAAGUUCGGAUGUACCAAAACGGGUACUUCAGAUCUGACAAACAUAC
Molecule: long non-coding RNA, 371 nt
Filed under: Mytilus galloprovincialis (Mediterranean mussel)
Lineage: Eukaryota; Metazoa; Mollusca; Bivalvia; Mytilida; Mytilidae
Source: RNAcentral